GUAGGUGGCAAGCGUUGUUCGGAAUUAUUGGGCGUAAAGCGCGCGCAGGCGGUCCUUUAAGUCUGAUGUGAAAGCCCACGGCUCAACCGUGGAGGGUCAUUGGAAACUGGGGGACUUGAGUACAGAAGAGGAAAGCGGAAUUCCAAGUGUAGCGGUGAAAUGCGUAGAGAUUUGGAGGAACACCAGUGGCGAAGGCGGCUUUCUGGUCUGUAACUGACGCUGAGGCGCGAAAGCGUGGGGAGCAAACAGGAUUAGAUACCCUGGUAGUCCACGCCGUAAACGAUGAGUGCUAAGUGUUAGGGGGUUUCCCGCCCCCCUUAGUGCUGCAGCUAACGCAUUAAGCACUCCGCCUGGGGAGUACGGCCGCAAGGCUG
This 374-nucleotide ribosomal RNA is filed under the name uncultured organism. RNAcentral describes it as "partial 16S ribosomal RNA". It matches the Rfam family "Bacterial small subunit ribosomal RNA", at positions 527 to 896 of the family's 1533-position model. The record is from RNAcentral.